AGCUGUAUAGCAUAGUGGUUUGAGUACUAGACUAUGACUCUGGAGACCAGGAUUCAAAUCCUGGCUCAGCCA
Phrynosoma platyrhinos (Desert horned lizard) is the source of this 72-nucleotide non-coding RNA. Lineage: Eukaryota; Metazoa; Chordata; Lepidosauria; Squamata; Phrynosomatidae. The record is from the annotation of a GenBank genome assembly.